UCGUGGGGCUUCGGCCCUAUCGUGAUAGAACCCUUGCCUUUUGAGUACCGUCCGUUUCCUCGGCAGGCCCGCCUGCCAAUGGGGACCCCAAUAAACCCUUUUUAUGUACCUGUAUCAGUCUGAAAAACAAACAAAAGUUA
RNAcentral lists this unclassified non-coding RNA (140 nucleotides) under uncultured Sporormiaceae. Its description in RNAcentral is "sequence contains ITS1". The record is from RNAcentral. Lineage: Eukaryota; Fungi; Ascomycota; Dothideomycetes; Pleosporales; Sporormiaceae.